This 316-nucleotide ribosomal RNA is filed under the name uncultured bacterium. RNAcentral's name for it is "bacterial SSU rRNA". It matches the Rfam family "Bacterial small subunit ribosomal RNA", at positions 28 to 334 of the family's 1533-position model. The record is from RNAcentral.
GAUGAACGCUAGCUACAGGCUUAAGACAUGCAAGUCGAACGGACUUAACUCAUUCUUUUAGAUUGAGAGCGGUUAGUGGCGGACUGGUGAGUAACACGUAAGCAACCUGCCUAUUAGAGGGGAAUAACAGUGAGAAAUCAUUGCUAAUACCGCAUAUGCUAACAGUAUCGCAUGAUACAGUUAGGAAAGGAGCAAUCCGCUAAUAGAUGGGCUUGCGUCUGAUUAGCUAGUUGGUGGGGUAACGGCCUACCAAGGCGACGAUCAGUAGCCGGACUGAGAGGUUGAACGGCCACAUUGGGACUGAGAUACGGCCCAG